AAAAACCCGCACGCCGGAAGACCAAGGGUUCCUGUCCAACGUUAAUCGGGGCAGGGUGAGUCGACCCCUAAGGCGAGGCCGAAAGGCGUAGUCGAUGGGAAACAGGUUAAUAUUCCUGUACUUGGUGUUACUGCGAAGGGGGGACGGAGAAGGCUAUGUUAGCCGGGCGACGGUUGUCCCGGUUUAAGCAUGUAGGCGGAGG
RNAcentral lists this ribosomal RNA (202 nucleotides) under Citrobacter sp. Cpo012. RNAcentral describes it as "partial 23S ribosomal RNA". It matches the Rfam family "Bacterial large subunit ribosomal RNA", at positions 1324 to 1530 of the family's 2925-position model. The record is from RNAcentral. Lineage: Bacteria; Pseudomonadati; Pseudomonadota; Gammaproteobacteria; Enterobacterales; Enterobacteriaceae.